GAUGAAGAACGUAGCGAAAUGCGAUAAGUAGUGUGAAUUGCAGAAUUCAGUGAAUCAUCGAAUCUUUGAACGCACAUUGCGCCCCUUGGUAUUCCAUGGGGCAUGCCUGUUCGAGCGUCAUUUGUACCUUCAAGCUUUGCUUGGUGUUGGGUGUUUGUCCCGAGGGACUCGCCUUAAAGUAAUUGGCAGCCAGUGUUUGGUUUUGAAGCGCAGCACAAGUCGCGAUUCAAGGCUACACGCCCGCUUCCACAAGCCUUUUUUCACUUUUGACCUCGGAGCAGGUAGGGAUACCCGCUGAACUUAAGCAUAUCAAUAAGCGGAGGA
RNAcentral lists this unclassified non-coding RNA (324 nucleotides) under soil metagenome. Its description in RNAcentral is "partial contains 5.8S ribosomal RNA, internal transcribed spacer 2, and large subunit ribosomal RNA". The stretch from base 1 to 120 matches the Rfam family "5.8S ribosomal RNA", at positions 35 to 154 of the family's 154-position model. The record is from RNAcentral.